Molecule: ribosomal RNA, 253 nt
Filed under: uncultured bacterium
Lineage: Bacteria
Description: partial 16S ribosomal RNA
Rfam family: Bacterial small subunit ribosomal RNA
Source: RNAcentral
UACGAAGGGGGCUAGCGUUGCUCGGAAUCACUGGGCGUAAAGGGUGCGUAGGCGGGUCUUUAAGUCAGGGGUGAAAUCCUGGAGCUCAACUCCAGAACUGCCUUUGAUACUGAGGAUCUUGAGUUCGGGAGAGGUGAGUGGAACUGCGAGUGUAGAGGUGAAAUUCGUAGAUAUUCGCAAGAACACCAGUGGCGAAGGCGGCUCACUGGCCCGGUACUGACGCUGAGGUGCGAAAGCCAGGGGAGCGAACGGG